UUUGUGGAUUAGCUCAAUAUAGUAACCUUUUUGGUGUUACCAUUGGAUAUGCAAUCACCACAUCCAUAAGCAUGGUGGCAAUUAAAAGAUCUAACUGCUUUCAUAGGAAAGGUCAUGAUGCUGGUUGUCAUGAGUCAAACAAUCCCUUCAUAAUUAUCUUUGGGGUUAUGCAAAUCCUUCUAUCCCAAAUCCCAAAUUUUCACAAGCUUUCAUUCCUUUCCAUCAUUGCUG
This 231-nucleotide unclassified non-coding RNA is filed under the name Hevea brasiliensis (rubber tree). The record is from RNAcentral. Lineage: Eukaryota; Viridiplantae; Streptophyta; Magnoliopsida; Malpighiales; Euphorbiaceae.